AAAGGGAGACCUAAUUCAGGUAAAAGACGAAAAAAAAGUAGUCGCUACCAAGAAUCAAUCCCAAAAGGUCGGAGCGAGGCGAAAUUGGCUUUCAAACUAGGUUCUGGGUUCAAACAAGACCUGAAUCAGGAACAAGGGCUAUUAGCUCAGGUGGUUAGAGCGCACCCCUGAUAAGGGUGAGGUCCCUGGUUCGAGUCCAGGAUGGCCCACCUGCACAGGUGGCAAAAACAAGAGAAGCGAGGAAUCAGCACCUUAUCUUACUUAUAUAGUAAGAGAGAAUGCUGGCUCUGAGUAAAGCGUCCAGAGGAACCUUGAAAACUGCAUAGAGCUAGGUGAAAAAGCCAAAAAAGAAGACCGCAAG
This 361-nucleotide transfer RNA is filed under the name uncultured Microcystis sp. Its description in RNAcentral is "partial 16S-23S ribosomal RNA intergenic spacer". The stretch from base 136 to 209 matches the Rfam family "tRNA". The record is from RNAcentral. Lineage: Bacteria; Bacillati; Cyanobacteriota; Cyanophyceae; Chroococcales; Microcystaceae.